AUAUUAUGAACUUGGUGAAAGAUCACAAAGUUCUUGCAUGGCAGUUAAAAACAGAUCAGAUUUCUAAAACAAUAAAUGCAAUUCGAACAAAAGUGAAUGAAAUUACUUAUAAGCCUCUAGAAAUUAAUGAGGCUUUUAAGAAUUUUUAUUCUGAGUUGUAUAAAUCAGAAUCAAAGAAUGAUGACAUUAAGAUAGAAGAAUUAUUAUCACAAAUAACUCUUCCAAAAUUAAAUACAGAAGAACAGAAGGGAUUAGGUAUGCCUUUUACAUUGAAGGAAGUUGAAGAAGCUUUGGGAUCACUUCAAAGUAAUAAAUCUCCAGGAGAAGAUGGUUUUCCACCUGAAUUUUAUAAAAAGUUUAAAGAUUUAUUAAUUCCUCCUUUUAUGGAGUUAAUAUAUCAAGCGGAAAGAAUGCAUAAGCUUCCAGAAUCUUUUUCAACAGCUAUUUUAAUAGUAUUGCCAAAAAAAGAUAGAGACCUUUUAAAACCAACAUCAUAUAGACCUAUUUCUUUAUUAAACACUGAUUAUAAAAUAAUAGCAAAAAUCUUAUCUAAUAGAUUAUCUAAAUGCUUACCAAAAUUAGUGCAUAUGGAUCAAACAGGAUUUAUCAAAAAUAGACAAUCGGCAGAUAAUGUAACUCGGUUAUUUAGUAUAAUCCAUUUAGCACAAAAGAGGGAGGAAAUGAGUGUGGCAGUUGCUUUAGAUGCAGAAAAAGCAUUUGAUAGAUUGGAAUGGGAUUUUUUUAUUUAAGGUACUGGGAAAAUAUGGAUUAGGAACAUCAUUUAUAAAAUGGAUUAAAACCUUAAAUACUAAUCCCAAAGCUAAAGUAGUGACAAAUGGUCAAAUUUCAACAUCAUUUCAGUUAACAAGAUCAACUAGGCAAGGUUGCCCAUUAUCACCUGCUUUAUUUGUGUUGGCAAUAGAACCACUAGCUGAAUUAAUUAGAAUGGACCCAGAUAUUAAGGGUUUCAGAGUUAAUCAGGAAGAAUACAAGAUUAACUGAUUUGCUGAUGAUGUUUUACUUUAUUUAACAGAUCCAUUACAUUCACUACGCAAAUUAUCUUAUAGAUUAGAAGAAUAUGGGAAAAUAUCGGGUUAUAAAAUAAAUUGGGAUAAAAGUGAAAUUUUACCUCUUACUAAAGGAGAUUAUAAUCAAUGUCGAUUAAUAACUCAAUUUAGAUGGCCAGCAAAUGGUAUAAAAUAUUUAGGUAUAAGAGUUGAUAAUGAUAUAAAAAAAUUUACAUAAAUUAAAUUAUUUACCACUUUUGAAAAAAAUUCAGGAAGAUCUUGAAAAAUGGAUGGCAUUACCAAUAACAUUAGUAGGUAGAGUAAAUACUAUAAAAAUGAAUAUAUUCCCUAGACUACAAUAUUUAUUUCAAUCAUUACCAAUACAAUUACCCCAGAAGUUUUUUCAAGAGUUAAACAAAUAUGUGAGGAAAUUCCUCUGGAAUAUCGCUGAAAAUCGUUGGAAAAAUUGACAUGGAAAUUUGAUCUAGGAGGAUUACAACUUCCAAAUUUUAAGAAUUAUUAUAAAGCAAAUCAACUUAGAUUUAUUGCAUCUUUUUUUGAGAAAGAUAAACCGGCAUGGAUUAGAAUAGAACUAGAUAAAAUAGGAGAAAACGUACCAGAAGAUUUUAUAUACAAAUGGGAAUCUAAAUGGAUACGGGAAAAGAAAGAAUCUCCUAUAUUAAAACAUUUGAUUGACUUAUGGAAUAAGAUAAAUGUUGAUGAUGAGACAAAAUCUUUAUUAGCAAAGAGAUCUUUAAUUCAAAAUAGACUUAUUCCUUUCACAAUGGACAAUCAACUUUUAUAUAAUUGGAUUCAAAAAGGGAUUAGAUAUAUAGCGAAUUGUUUUGAAGGAGGUAUAUUAAUGUCAUUUGAUCAAUUAAAGAAUAAAUAUAAAAUAUCAAAUAACACUUUAUUUUGUUACUUUCAAUUAAGGGCUUAUUUAAGAGAAAAAUUAGGUCAAACAAUGUUAUUGCUGAAAUCUAAUGAAAUAGAAAUUUUAAUUCAAAAAGGAAAUAUUAAAAAAUUUAUAUCUUGUAUGUAUAAUUUGAUUCAAAGACAGGCAAUUAAACAAGGAGUCCAUAAGUCAAGACAAAAAUGGGAAAGUGAUUUGAAUAUUAAAAUUGAAGAAACAAAUUGGUCAAGACUAUGUCUUGAUAGUAUGACAAAUACAAUAAAUGUUCGGUUAAGAUUAGUGCAGUAUAAUUUUCUACAUCAAUUAUAUAUUACACCACAAAAAAUAAAAAAAUUAAAUCCAAAUUUAUCAGAUCAGUGUUUCCGAUGUAACCAGGAAACUGGUACUUUUUUACAUUCGACAUGGUCUUGCUCUAAAAUUCAACUUUUUUGGACAAAUUUAAGACUUUUACUGGAACAAAUUACAGGAACACAAUUUCCUCAUAAUCCAAUAUUACUUUUACUAGGUGAUAUUGAAGGGAUAAAACCGAAACUCAAACUAAAUAAAUAUCAGAAAGAAUUUAUAAAAAUUGCAUUGGCAGUAGCCAAAAAAGCUAUUGCAGUUACUUGGAAAUCGGAUACAUAUUUAAGUAUAGACUCUUGGAAGAAAGAAAUCUAUGGCUGUAUUCCAUUAGAAAAAAUUACUUAUAAUUUAAGAGAUAAAUAUGGAGCCCUUAUUUACAAAAGACAGGAUUAAAUAUAUAGAUGCCCUGAAGAUGAAACAAUUGGUUAUUAGGGGAAAGAAAUAAAUAUACAUAUUAAAGUUAUUACGAAUUCCAUGGAGCAUGUGGAGAUCUUCCAACAACCAGGCAUUCUUUCUUUCUUUCUUUUUUUUUUCUUUCUCUUUUUUUAUAUAGGGCAGUUAGGGGGAGGGGUUAAGGGGAGGGGGUAAGGGUUAUAUACAAUUUUUUCAUACUUUGUAACUAUUUAAAAAUGCAAUAAAAAAAGUUUUCAAAAAAAUCAGUGAUAAUAAAUCUGAUUCAAAAAUUAGACAAUGUAGGGUUCUGAAGGGAGUUUGUAUUGAAAGAAGUGUGUGGAAAGUCUAUCAACAGCUAUUUUUUAAAAAAAUAUAUAGUUCUGGAACAGAAACAGUAAGUGGUAUUCUCAUGUACAGAUGAAACAACAGGCAGAUAAGAAAGAGCACCUGUCUUUAAAGUUUCUACAGUUUAGAUAACAAUAUUUAAAUAUUCUUAUGGGUUGCUAAUGGAUUGUAGUUCGCAAGUUUUCAUCUGCUCGGGAACAAUCUUCCUUUGCAGCUCUUACGGAUGUACUUUCUGUAUCCUAAAGUGUUUGCAUUGCUCUUCAUUAUGCCUCUUUGAUUUCUUAUUGUUCAUAUUAACCCCUUUUUGUUUGCAACUUUCCUUUGGUUAUUGGUUUUGAUUUAACACUUCGAUUUUUCAAAAGAAUGACAACUUUUCUGCUUCAUUCAUAAACCAGAGAGCGCAAGUUGGAGUGAUUAACAAAGUCAACUGAAUCUUAAUAAUUAACUUUGAAAGAUUUUCUCAACUGUUUGUUAGUCUAUGGAUAGCAAUUAUGAAUCUAAAAUUAUUGCCAACUUUAUUAAAAGGAACUUUUGUACAUCUUAGACCAGUCACAUUUCUAGAACAUCGAGCAAUAGUUUCAGAAUAUUAGGUUGCAUAUCUAUUAUAGUUUCCUAAAGGCUUGUUCCAAUAAUGAAAUGACUUUUUGUAAAUCAUUAAAACUAUCCGAUAAUAUCAAGAAUUAAUGGGACAUAAAGACUAACAUGAAAAAAGCUGAAUGGUCCUGGCCUUGAGGGAAAAAUAUAAUAAAAGUGAAUGGAAGUAUUUCCUGAUACAACUCAUUAUUUGAAAACAUUUAUUUCCUUUUACAGCAGGGAAACUAAUAAACUUUCCAUUUAAUUUUGGGUCUGUUUCUCAGCCUGACCCCUGCUGCCAAACUUGUCACACUUUCUGUCGAUGCAGAACUAUUCUACGUGGGUUAUUUGGUCCUUAAAGUUUUUGGAUCAUUUCGCUCAGCUUUUCCCUCCAAUCUGAAGCUACUUCCUGAAGCAGAGGGAAGAACCAACAUGGUACUGGUAUAGUGGUAGUUCCUUGUGCAGCUUCUUACAUAGGCUCUUGUUUCUGCUCUAAGCUGAAAUAUAAAGGUUUUUUUUAAAUGUAUGGACGAGAGAAAAUCUGCAGAUGCUGGAAAUCUGAGCAAAACACACAAUGCUAGAGAAACUCAGCAGGACAGGCAGCCUCUAUGGGGAAAAAAGGUACAUUUGAUGUUUUGGCCAUCGACCGUACUUUUUUCCAUAGAUGCUGCCUGGCCUGCUGAGUUCCUCCAGCAUUUUGUGUGUGUUGCUUAAAUUUAUGGAGACCUACUCAAAUAUUUCAUCCUCUAAUUCAGGAACAGGAAUAUUACCACAGCAUCACUGAGUGUAAAGUUCAUGCCAGCUAAGGAGGGGAAUUUAGUGUAUUCCAGUAACAAGCCCUUACUUGAACAGGUGCAAGAAUCAUAUAAAUUUCUGACACAAAAGGAGGUUGUGUAUUCCCCAGCAAAAGAAAUAAGAGCCAUAUUCAGUUAUUUACACACAAGACUCCCAGACUUCAAGUAUUAUCUUUUCAAUAUUGUGAGGUUUGCUGCCUCCUUGCCCUUCUAAGGUAGUAAAUUCAAGGACCCCACAACUCAUUGAGUGAAAUGAUGCUUUCCCAGUUCUCUCCUCAAUAAUCCUGCUCUCCAUUUGUGGACAACAUGAGUGAAUCUGCAGAUGCUGGAAAUAAAUAAAAACACAAAAUGCUGGCAGAACUCAGCAGGCCAGACAGCAUCUAUGGGAGGAGGUAGUGACGACGUUUCGGGCCGAAACCCUUCAUCAGGAGUGAAGUAACAUGGGAUGGUCGAGGGGGGAUAAGAACUGGGGGGAGGGAUAAAGUAGAGAGCUAGGAAGUGAUAGGCUGGAGGGAAAUGGGCUAGGGGGAAGGUGGAGAAUUAUGGGAAAUAAAAGAGAAAGAAAGGUAGGGCUGGGGGGAGAUUAUAGUGAGGAGGGAAAAAGAGAAAGAGAACCAGACUAAAAUUAUAGAUAGGGAUGGGGGUAAGGGGGGGGCAGGGGUAUCAACAGAGGUCUGUGAAUUGAAUGUUCAUACCGGCAGAUAGGAGGCUACAUAGGCGGGAGAUAAGGUAUUGCUCCAUCCACCUGCGCGUGGCCUCAUCUUGAUGGUAGAGGAGGCCAUGGACAGACAUGUCGGAGUGGGAGUGGUCUGGAAUUGAAGUGUGUGGCCGCAGGGAGAUCCCGCCACUGCUGGAGGACUGAGCGCCGGUGUUCGGCGAAACGGUCUCCCAGUCUGCGUCGGGUCUCCCUAAUGUAUAAAUGGCCCAUCGGGAGCACCAGAUACAGUAUAAUCACCCCAGCUGACUCGCAGUUGAAGUGUUGCCUCACCUGAAAGGACUGUCUGGGGCCUGGGAAGAUGUGUGGGGGCAGGUGUAGCACUUCUUCUGUUUGCAGGGAUGAGUGCCCGCAGAGAGGUCCGUGGGGAAGGAUGGGGGUGAUGAAUGGACAAGGGAGUCACGUAGGGAGCGAUCCCUGCAGAAAGCCGAGAGUGGGGGGGGGGGGGGGGGGGGGGAGGGGAAGAUGUGGCUGGUGGUGGGAUCCCGUAGGAGGUGGCGGAAGUUACGGAGGAUUAUACGUUGGAUCUGUUGGCUGGUAGGGUGAUAGGUGAGGACCAGGGGGACUCUAUCCCUGGGGGGAUGGGGUGAGGGCAGAGUUGAAGGAGCUCCAUUUGUGGAGCACCUUUCUCUUUACCCAGUUGAGGCCUCUGAAAAUGUUACACAUCUCAAUUAAUUCUCUACUCAAUCUCCUUUGUUCCACAGAAGCAACACCAUUUCCUUUUUUAACAUCCUUUUUAACUAUCAAAAUAAUACAAUUGGAAAGCAAAAUUAAUUUGUAUUUUUACACUUUUAAUGUAGGUCUCGUUUUUUUUAAAUGACAAUUUAUUUUUACACAGUAAAAUAUCAAGGAUUUUGUCAGGGUUUGUGAAGUUAAGGUUAUGAAUAUAUAAACCUUUUUAACCCAUCACAAAACAUUGUAAUAUCAGACAGAUUCUGGUAAAUAUUAGAUAAAUGAUUUCCUUAUGAAGGCUGCUUGGCAGUCUGGCUGCUGUACAAUCAGUUCUCCAGCAUCUCAAAGCUGAGCAGAAAUGGUUGACAGUACUUAACUCUGACUAAACUGCAAUGUCAAUGUGACUUGUAGAACUGAAAGAAACUACUAGAAACAUGCAGCUUGUCUGAAUUGGGAGGAGAAAGACAGUCUAAUAUUCAUCAGACCUCUGCUUCUAGCAUGUUGUCUUCCACUUAUAACAAUAAGAAAACCUAACCUGGGGUAUAAAAACACCUCAGGAGAUGCCAAGUGAAGUUGGCACAUUGACUCGCUUAAUUUGUAUUGCUUUUCAUAGAAUCCAACAACUUCCAAGAAAGAAGAAAAAAAAGCUACACUUAGAAAAGGAUUUCCAUUCAUUUCUUUUUGUUUAUGUUCUGCCAAUAGAAGAACACAUUUUUUGGUCUUAUUUAACUCAUCUUUGGUACAUCACUUUCAUAUAUCCUCCUUUCAUGAUUUAUAAAAGUUACUUCAAAAUACAAGUUUUGUUUAACACUUUUCUAUUGUCAGUUUCAAGUUAGAAAGGCAAAGGCACGUUCAUGUGUAUUUCCUGAACAUCAUUAUUCAGCCUCUUUUGAGGACAUUUUCCUCACACCCUCGAUUUUGAAACAUCCGCAAAAUAUGAAAAUUCACCAUUAUGCUCAAACUAAUGAAAUAGAAGGAUUUAAUCCCUGAGGCCCCAGACCAGAUUUGCUGCUAGAGAAUAGAUCUACAUAUCUGUUAAAUACAAUAAAUUCUUUGAAUUAAUGUUAAUGAUUUAGUGGAUAUGGGCAGCAAUGUGGUCUUCAGUUAUCAAACAACUCAGCUUGAAUAUGGUGAGAAAUUCUUCCAAAUGUUUAGUAAAAUUAAUAUUCUUUACACCAGCUAUUGUUUGGGAGAUGCACCAGGGCUGAGGACAGCCAUAGUUCCAGUUUUGCCCAGCUGUUGAGUACAAAAAUCACCCUUGUGUCUUCUGCUAUUACCAUAUCCAAACCACUUGACUAGGUAGCAUAUCAGUAAUAACGAUUCAAGCUUCUAGUGGCAGGAAUAUCUGGCUGACCGUUCAUCCAGAUCUC
Molecule: long non-coding RNA, 7124 nt
Organism: Hypanus sabinus (Atlantic stingray)
Lineage: Eukaryota; Metazoa; Chordata; Chondrichthyes; Myliobatiformes; Dasyatidae
Exons: 2
Source: RefSeq, a predicted model, not a curated record